This 876-nucleotide long non-coding RNA is filed under the name Anser brachyrhynchus (Pink-footed goose). RNAcentral describes it as "lncRNA (ENSABRG00000014701.1)". Lineage: Eukaryota; Metazoa; Chordata; Aves; Anseriformes; Anatidae. The record is from RNAcentral.
CUUCCUCUUCCUCUUCCUCUUCCUCUUCCUCUUCCUCUUCCUCUUCCUCUUCCUCUUCCUCUUCCUCUUCCUCUUCCUCUUUUCCUCUUUUCCUCUUUUCCUCUUUUCCUCUUUUCCUCUUUUCCACUUUUCCACUUUUCCUUUUCCUCUUUUCCUCUUUUCCUCUCCUUUUUGUAUCAUCAUGGCAAUGAAAUACAGAGCUAGAUGCAUCUUCUAGGCCGCCUGCCUGUAGAGUCAUUUGUACUCAUCAGAGCAACCUCUACAGAAAGUAAGGCUAACAACCCGGAGCACCAGAAAACUGCCAAAACCCACACUUCCCAGAUCCCUGGAGAUGCUUUUUUACUCUCAGCACACGAGUUGGAAGGCUGAGAUGGUGCCAUGGUGCAAGGAAAGUCCCUCCAGCUUUUGCUAUUGGAGAGAUUUGAAAUGCAGAAUAGUCAGCAUUCCACAACUUCUGCCCACAAGCAAGUGUGAGAUGGCUCCAAGAUGCCUCGCUUCUUUGUACUGCAGGAGGUUUCUAAUAAGAAGCCAAGCUUCUGAAAACUGGAGAUGCUGCAGCACACAAAGCCCUUGCAGAGGAACCCUGUAAAACUCAGUGAAAGUGGAAUUAAACCAGGGUGCAUUUGAAACUGACAGGACCCUACAGCAAUGAACAGAGCAAUGAGUACUUUCUGUAGACUGUUUCAAACGAAUUGUGAAAAACUUAAGCAUGUUUUUUCCAGGACCUCAUCCCAUGACCAGUGUCAAUAGAUGUUUUUCAGUCUACUUCAAUGCCCUCUGAUCAAGCUGUAUGUCCCUACAAGUGCUUGGGCACAUUACAAUUGUUUUAAAAAUUCUUCUCAUAAUAAAGCACGUGGAAAAAUAUUUGCUGGGGCA